Molecule: ribosomal RNA, 468 nt
Filed under: uncultured bacterium
Lineage: Bacteria
Description: partial 16S ribosomal RNA
Rfam family: Bacterial small subunit ribosomal RNA
Source: RNAcentral
GACGAACGCUGGCGGCGUGCUUAACACAUGCAAGUCGAACGGAAAGGCCCUGCUUUUGUGGGGUGCUCGAAUGGCGAACGGGUGAGUAACACGUGAGUAACCUGCCCUUGACUUUGGGAUAACUUCAGGAAACUGGGGCUAAUACCGGAUAGGAGCUCCUGCUGCAUGGUGGGGGUUGGAAAGUUUCGGCGGUUGGGGAUGGACUCGCGGCUUAUCAGCUUGUUGGUGGGGUAGUGGCUUACCAAGGCUUUGACGGGUAGCCGGCCUGAGAGGGUGACCGGCCACAUUGGGACUGGAAUACGGCCCAGACUCCUACGGGAGGCAGCAGUGGGGAAUAUUGCACAAUGGGCGGAAGCCUGAUGCAGCAACGCCGCGUGCGGGAUGACGGCCUUCGGGUUGUAAACCGCUUUCGCCUGUGACGAAGCGUGAGUGACGGUAAUGGGUAAAGAAGCACCGGCUAACUACGUG